AGCAGCCGCGGUAAUUCCAGCUCCAAUAGCGUAUAUUAAAGUUGUUGCAGUUAAAAAGCUCGUAGUUGAAUUUCGGGAUUUGUCAGUUGGUCGGGCUUCACUGUCCGUAUUGACUUGAUGGAUUCUUACCUUCUGAAUAACCAGCAUGCUAUUAAGUUAGUGCGUUGGGGAAGCAGAUCUAUUACCUUGAAAAAUUAGAGUGCUUAAAGCGAGCUAGUGCUUGAAUAGAUUAGCAUGGAAUAAUAAAAUAGGACGGCAUGGUUCUAUUUUGUUGGUUUCUAGGAUCACCGUAAUGAUUAAUAGGGAUAGUUGGGGGCAUUAGUAUUCAAUUGUCAGAGGUGAAAUUCUUGGAUUUAUUGAAGACUAACUUCUGCGAAAGCAUUUGCCAAGGAUGUUUUCAUUAAUCAAGAACGAAAGUUAGGGGAUCGAAGACGAUCAGAUACCGUCGUAGUCUUAACCCAUAAACUAUGCCGA
Molecule: ribosomal RNA, 474 nt
Filed under: uncultured Acaulospora
Lineage: Eukaryota; Fungi; Glomeromycota; Glomeromycetes; Diversisporales; Acaulosporaceae
Description: SSU rRNA
Rfam family: Eukaryotic small subunit ribosomal RNA
Source: RNAcentral